GACAACUUAGUUAAAUAAGGCGCCACCUGUCAAGUGAUUUUCAAUAAAAUAAAUUCGUGAUUACACGACAAUAUCGAAACGAAAAAUCCAAGAGAUCAGCACAACAAUAACAAAAGACUCCCACGGGGAAUGCUGCUGCCCGUUUGGCCUCCAGUCCUCCCCCACUCCCAACUCCCCAGUUCUACCUUCCUGGCCCAUCACACACGACUUGGACUUCAGGUUGCGAAUCCUUGGCACACACUCACAUCCCCAAGCAAACGGAGCCUCCACUUCUGAAUCGCAGUCGUGCAGGGUCAACGUCAAUACUGAAUGUUGUCGCCGUUCCAACUGUCCGUCCAACGGAGCGUCCGUCUGUCGUUGAGUCCGUCCGUCUGUCUGUCUCGGUGUCUUGGCUUGUUUACAGUGUGCAAAAAUCAUUUAGACAAGUUGACAAAAGCUCGUUUGGAACGUGAGUAACAUGAGUUGGACCCGAGACUGGAGAUUCGAACUGGGGACUCGAGACCUGAGACUGCUGCCUUGGCUGCCUUCGGAAUUGGUUCUGCCCGUCCGCCGGUUGCCGUUUUCUGCGGUUAUUUGGGCUUUUGGAGCUUCUCAAGUAUCUGAGGUCUUAAUUCUAAACAUGGCAAAUGUGCCUAGAGCGUGCUGCUCAGCUGCUGCUUUGUUUCUUUGCUUCUAUAAUACUUUGGCCUGCGGCGGCGAAUAAAAU
This is a non-coding RNA of Drosophila melanogaster (fruit fly), 706 nucleotides long. NCBI's taxonomy places the organism in Eukaryota, Metazoa, Arthropoda, Insecta, Diptera, Drosophilidae. The record is from Ensembl.